This is a non-coding RNA of Sus scrofa (pig), 1976 nucleotides long. The record is from the annotation of a RefSeq genome assembly. NCBI's taxonomy places the organism in Eukaryota, Metazoa, Chordata, Mammalia, Artiodactyla, Suidae.
CUCCCAGCACACCCGCCCACCGCCUGCAUCCACAUGCACACACACCUGGGCACACACACACCUACCCACGCACACAUGUGUACACCCCCGGGCCCUCACAGACCAGAGCAUGGAGCUGGGUCUCACACACCCUCACCGGGGACACCAGCCCGGCCCCAUCCCCCGAGGCCCCACGGGCUGCUCAGCCACACUGGCACACUAGACCACACGGACCCGCUCCGACGCCCGGCCCCGCUCUUCCCCUGGCACCUACGCCCCCUCCGGAACAAGCAGAAAUCCCCAGCCCGCUUGUCCCCAGCACAGCCGCCCCCGCGGCCCGGGGACACACACCCCAAGGCCGUCUCGGCCCUUCCCUGGGCCAGAGCCCACCGGGCCCCUGCUCAGCUUAACGCCCACCCUCCGGGCCUGGCCCCCUCGGAGAGAGGGCGGGGCCUGAGCCACUGGCCUGCACGGUCAGGACACCCCCUCCCAGACGGUCCCCAUGCUCGGGGGCCCCCACCAGAGGAGAGGGGGCAGGACAUCCCUGGCCAGGCUGAGACUCAGCCCAGGAUGCAGGACUGGGGGGCCGGGGCCGGGGCCAGGCACUGAGCUCAGCCGGGGGGUCCCCCACCUGGAGCCACCCCAGGCCCCGCGGGCUGGCACAGCACUGACCACCCCUCCCCGUGCAGAACUGCUCCUGGAGGAGAGCUGUGCCGACGCCCAGGACGGGGAGCUGGACGGGCUCUGGACCACCAUCUCCAUCUUCAUCACGCUCUUCCUGCUCAGCGUGUGCUACAGCGCCACCGUGACGCUCUUCAAGGUGAAGUGGAUCUUCUCGUCGGUGGUGGAGCUGAAGCGGACCAUUGUCCCCGACUACAGAAACAUGAUCGGGCAGGGGGCCUAGGGCGCCCUCCAGGGCGGCCAGGGCCGCCCCAGACCCGACAGGACCGCGUCCGUCAGCUCAAGCUGCUCCGCCUGCGCCAGGCCUGCCUCCGCCCUCUGACCUCGCCCACCUCUGGCUCUCGGCCACCUCGCCCGCACCUCUGCCCUUGGGCAUCGCGGCCCCCUCAGAAGGCGCCCCGCACCCCCACCGCCCCUCGGAAGCCCGAGUGGGCAGCAGCUCGGGCCCCGACCUGACUUGAUGGACACCCACCACCACCAGCCCCCGCCAGAGCCACGGGACACCGCCGGGGCCACGUGUCCUCACCAGGAACGCCCAGCUCAGCCAGCAGGUCCAGCCGUCCACGAGGAGACCGGCGUCCAGCGGCUGACGGGACAGGGCCCUGGCUCCCUGUGGACCCCAUCCAGACCGGGCUCCAGAGGCAGGGUCCCCGAGAGGAGGCUCCUGUGUCACAGCCUGGAGUGGGAACAGCUGCCCCCAACGCCAGCGUCUCCCAGCAGGGAAGUUCCCAGACGGGCCACCAACAGGCGCUCAGGUCACCUCCAGCCCAGGGCACUCGAGGGAGGAGGACCUGGGCCCGAGGCCACGGGAGGAGCCCCGGUGGGGACAGAGCGGCCCUGCCCAGGGAGGCCGUGAGGUGCCGCCAGACCGGCCUCCUGGAGGAGGUCCCGCUGACUCGGACCCCCGCAGGCAGGACGGGCCCUCGCUGGACACAGGCAGGGGUGGAGGGGCCACCCAGGGUACAGGGCAGCCAACCCAUCCCAAGGUCCGCGGCCUGAGUCACGUCUAUUGGACCAUCCGUCCAUCCAGCAGGAGAUCCUUCUGCCUGCCCCGGGGCCUGGGUGUGAAGUGAGACCCCCAGGAGGGAGCCCCAGGCCCCGGACCCCCAAGGCCGCCCCAGAACGGACUCUCCCGCCCUGUCUCUGCGGGAACCCCAAGUGGGUUCACGGCAUCCGGGGAGCAGCCUCGGGACUGGGAGGGAAGGCUCAUCCGCCGAGCUGUGGUCGCUCUUUGUCCUUGGUGAGUGUCUGGAGCCCAGGCACUCUCCUCACUCUUGCUCUCAUUUUUCAAAAUAAACCACUUUUACAACCCCUCA